UUAAAAGAAGGUGCCAUGUUUCUUUCUCUUUCCCAGCAAUUCUACCUACUCACCCCCACUCCCAUCCCACUGUCCUUCUCCUAUCCUAAGAGAAUCAAGACUAACAAAGAAGAGAGGAAGAAGAUAAAACGAGGGCAAUGAAGAAUCCUGUACAAGGUAUUCUUGCCUGCUGUUGUGUCUUAGCCAAGUGCAAAUGUGUGUCCAGUAUUAUUUUGAACUACCAGGGAAGAGCUGUUAGAAGAACCCAGAUGAACUUUUUGGCCAACCCAACACUUAAGAUACUCGUAGAUCUGUGAGCCUUCAUCUCUGUUUCCUCAGCUUUGGCCAGAGACAUAGCCAGAGUUGGUGAAGGAGUAGGGUUCCGGUGGAGAGAAAAGGACACUUUGAAUAUCCCAGAAACCAUCUCCCUUUCUGAAAAAGAGC
This is a long non-coding RNA of Bos indicus x Bos taurus (hybrid cattle), 423 nucleotides long. Lineage: Eukaryota; Metazoa; Chordata; Mammalia; Artiodactyla; Bovidae. The record is from Ensembl.